CUUAUUAAAUAUGGUUAGAAAAGAUGAAGAAUCAUAACACCAAAUAAACCGAACUAGAACAACAAAUAAGCAAGACAGAGAGUGGUCGUAUUACAAAACUUGGGAAACUAAAUGGUUUUGAGGAAGCUUUUGUGAGUAAAGAGGAAAGGGUAAAAUUACAAAAGGAAAUGAGAUGGAGUGGCAAGAGCUAACAGACAGGCACAAAGUAACAUAGAGGAAGAUCAAAAUUGUAUACAUGUGAGCAAGACAAAAAGGUUGAUGGGCUAUUAAUAAACAUGAGUUGGGGCUGGGUUUAGACAUAGAGGAUCAACCCUGGGGUUAGGUCUGAGAAUAUUUAUAUCAAGGGUUGGAGGAUUAAAUGUAUUGUAAGGCUUCGGACUUUAUUGGAAUUAGAACUAUAGCUAGUUUACUCAAGUGACCUAACUGGAUGAGUAUUUUACAGGUUUUCUCGUGGCAAUGUGCCUUGUCCUUUGUGCUUCACCAUAUGAAACUGCACCAGCAACUACCGAAUAUGAUCUCAAGCAUCUUUCCGUUCGUCUUUUCAAGUCUGUAUUUCAGCGUGAAGGAACUUAAAGAAAAUUACACGCAGUGGGUUGGUCCACCCUUCUCAACUGAUAUGGGAUUCAUUGAUAUGUUACCUGAACAUUCUCUGCCUGAUCCUUCCACUGGAAUAGACAACACCUUUGGACUCGAGGAUAUCUGCACCUGCCAAAAAUCCAUCACGUUGUACGUGGUUACCUUAAACCAUGCGUUUUUUGAACAAAACAUCACAUACAAACUCCACAACGAAGUACUUAAGUUGCUAUCUGAGCUGAGAUUACAAAUGAAUCGACUCAAACGAAUCUGCACAUUGGAGAUUGUGGGCAAUGAAGAUGAUGGGAUUCAGAUGUCUGAAUCUCCCAGAACUGAAAUGGAGAAGCGUACUCGCACGCUUGCCAUCCUUAUGGACCUGGAGAAUUGGCUUGAUAGGCUUCUCACAAGCAUGGAUGAUGAGCUGGUGCGUGAUAAAUCCAGCCAUUAAAAAAUAUGCAAAAGUAGCAAAAGGGAAUUGAUGUAUGCAAGUCUGUGUUAUGAAUGUAUUUAUGCGAAAAUUGAUUUGCGUUUGAAAAAAAACAACAAAACAGUUUUUGAUAAACAGGUACUAUAUCGUUUUACCCUCCACCAUGCUAUCUUUUUCUUCAUCUUAAACUUUCCCUCCUUAUAUGUUUUGCCUCUUCAUCAACGUUUAUCAUAUUUCUUAGACCAUUCUCUCUCUCAUUCUCAGUGUAUAUAAAAAAAAUAUUUAUUAUAUUUAUAAAUAAGUUAUCCUACAAUGUCAAUAACAAUAAAUAUUAUGACAGGUACCUUUGAUGAUCGACCGUUUAUAAAAUUGAAUACUUCUUGCAGAAGAUCAAAUGUGAAGAGUUUACAUUUUCUACAAAGUAAACAAUCUCAGAACAGUAAAAGUACAAUACAAUUCUCCUGAAGGAGGAAAAUUCUUAGAAAAACGGAAGGAAAUUGGUCUGCAUUCGUGUCAAAACUGAUCAUGUUCACCGCAAAACAUUAUGGUGUUUAAAACCAACGAAAGAGUAACAUUGAAUUUGAGUUCAUGAUAAUAAAAAACAGAAAGGCGAGACAAGCUAUUGUGCAUCAAUACAAAUAAAAAAUGGAAAAAAAAUAAUUAAGGUAACAUCAAAGUAAACUGAAGCGAUCCACUACAGUAUAAAAUAAACUUGUUGAAUUCUCAUAAUGUAAUCCACAAGGAUUUUGUGACACCUGUUAUACAGGCUGCAGUAUUUUAAACUAUUGUACCCAUUUGCACACACACUGUCAUGCACUGUGAGGACCCAUUCUGGUCUUUGAUUCUGAAAUGGUAAACACCAUAUUUUAAGCACUGUUUGAUGCAAUAUUUCUCCAACAUUUAUAUUUAAAAUGAUCAUUUGUCUCAUGCACAUGUAGCACAAGCUAAAAUCGUACUCAAACUAUAAAAACAUUGAUCAGUGGGUUCCAGGGUUCCAGGGCAAGUUCCAGGGCAAGUUCCAGGGCAGUUACUUUAAUCUGCUCCGAAAUCCCUCAACACCUCAAUUGCAAUUUCUAAUCUGGGAACGACGUUUCAUGUUUCAUCCCCCGUUGUGGUAUUUAUAGAUUCUAAGUUAUAUAUUUUUGUAUGUUCAAUGUCAUUCACAUUUUCAAAUAACUUUUUUAUUUCUAUUUUUUUUAACAAAUGUCUUAUUUAUUUAUAGAAAGAGUUUAAAUAUCUCAUACUUUAUGCAGGGGAACAACAAACUCGAUAUUUCCCCUUUUUCUCUUGCUGCUACCAUUAUGUGAUGGCUCAUUUUAUUUUGUAAUUUAUUAUUUUAUAAAACAGAUUCCAUUGUUCACGUCAUAUAUUUUAUUUCUAUGCAGAAUCUCAUGCAAAUACUGUAAGUUUCAAAAUUUGCAAAUACCUCUCCAUUAUUUAAAUGUUAUUUUAUUUUAAAUAAAUAAUUUAUUCUUAGAGCAGAAUGAAUUAAAAGAAUAAAUUAUUUACAUUUACAUUCCUUUGGGUUCAAGUUCUCAGUUUGUAUUCAUUCAUUUCAUG
Long non-coding RNA from Eptatretus burgeri (inshore hagfish), 2560 nucleotides. NCBI's taxonomy places the organism in Eukaryota, Metazoa, Chordata, Myxini, Myxiniformes, Myxinidae. The record is from Ensembl.